RNAcentral lists this ribosomal RNA (440 nucleotides) under uncultured bacterium. Its description in RNAcentral is "partial 16S ribosomal RNA". It matches the Rfam family "Bacterial small subunit ribosomal RNA", at positions 338 to 795 of the family's 1533-position model. The record is from RNAcentral.
CCUACGGGCGGCAGCAGUGGGGAAUAUUGCACAAUGGGGGAAACCCUGAUGCAGCGACGCCGCGUGAGUGAAGAAGUAAUUCGUUAUGUAAAGCUCUAUCAGCAGGGAAGAAAAUGACGGUACCUGAGUAAGAAGCCCCGGCUAACUACGUGCCAGCAGCCGCGGUAAUAAGUAGGGGGCAAGCGUUAUCCGGAUUUAAUGGGGGGAAAGGGGGCGGAGACGGCAGUGCAAGUCUGGAGUGAAAGGCGGGGGCUCAACCCCCGGAAUGCUCUGGAAACUGUACGGCUGGAGUGCAGGAGAGGUAAGUGGAAUUCCGAGUGUAGCGGUGAAAUGCGUAGAUAUUAGGAGGAACACCAGUGGCGAAGGCGGCUUACUGGACUGUAACUGACGUUGAGGCUCGAAAGCGUGGGGAGCAAACAGGAUUAGAUACCCCAGUAGUC